GCGANCCUGACGGAGCAUGCCGCGUGAGUGAUGAAGGUUUUCGGAUCGUAAGCUCUGUUGCCAGGGAAGAACGCUUGUUAGAGUAACUGCUCUCAAGGUGACGGUACCUGAGAAGAAAGCCCCGGCUAACUACGUGCCAGCAGCCGCGGUAAUACGUAGGGGGCAAGCGUUGUCCGGAAUUAUUGGGCGUAAAGCGCGCGCAGGCGGUCAUUUAAGUCUGGUGUUUAAUCCCGGGGCUCAACCCCGGAUCGCACUGGAAACUGGGUGACUUGAGUGCAGAAGAGGAGAGUGGAAUUCCACGUGUAGCGGUGAAAUGCGUAGAUAUGUGGAGGAACACCAGUGGCGAAGGCGACUCUCUGGGCUGUAACUGACGCUGAGGCGCGAAAGCGUGGGGAGCAAACAGGAUUAGAUACCCUGGUAGUCCACGCCGUAAACGAUGAGUGCUAGGUGUUAGGGGUUUCGAUACCCUUGGUGCCGAAGUUAACACAUUAAGCACUCCGCCUGGGGAGUACGGUCGCAAGACUGAAACUCAAAGGAAUUGACCGGGACCCGCACUACAGUUUAGUAUGUGGUUUACUUC
This 580-nucleotide ribosomal RNA is filed under the name Paenibacillus sp. SDT19. RNAcentral describes it as "bacterial SSU rRNA". It matches the Rfam family "Bacterial small subunit ribosomal RNA", at positions 377 to 952 of the family's 1533-position model. The record is from RNAcentral. Lineage: Bacteria; Bacillati; Bacillota; Bacilli; Caryophanales; Paenibacillaceae.